Molecule: non-coding RNA, 159 nt
Filed under: bovine gut metagenome
Source: RNAcentral
GGUGGCCGGAAAGGCCCCAACAGGGAAGCCGGUGCAAAUCCGGAACUGUGCCCGCAGCUGUGAAAUCCGUGAACGCUUCUGCCGAUAGGCCAUUGCUCCCGGAAGGGGAGUGAGAAGGCGGCAGGAGAAGGGAUUGAGUCAGAAGACCUGCCUUAUUCA